AGGAACCGGGCCUGGGUGAACACAAGCAGGGAGCCGAGUUUGAAGCACAGAGAAGUGGUCCCCUACGCAUCCAGCUUUGAGGAGCUACAAGCGUUGGGGGGUUCCCAGCCAGACCUUCACAGUCCAGGCGGCAGAAGUUCUCUGAAUGACUCUGGUAGUCAUUGCACCAGUAACGGCUAUUGAUCUGGAAGAUUCCAUAGUCAAAGACCGUAAGAUCUCCUUGCAACUGUUUGGUUCUGUCAUCACGGCACAAAAUCAGCCGCAGAUAAGGCAUCCGAGAGUGAGUCUGUCCCUGCUGCUGUAAAAUCUCGCAAAAACAGGUUGUGGCUAAACUUGGCCCAUCAGCUAAUGACUGAUCCUUCUUAUAAACAAUAAUGUACAGUGUGUCUCCUUUGAAACAAACCCUUGUAUAAUUGAGCAAUUGCUGUCUUGUGAUAGCAGCUUUAUACCAUUUUCAGAAGUAGGAUCCUUUUCCAAAUGACACACAUAAAAAUUCAUCUAGCCAGGGGCUGGAGAGAUGGCUCAUCAGUUAAGGGCACUGGCUGUUCUUGCAGAAGAUCCAGGUUCAUGUGUCAGCACCCAUGUAGCCACUAACAGCCAGCUGUAACUUCCGUUCUAAAGAGUCUGUCACCUGUUUCUGGCCUCCAUGGGCGUUGCAUGCAUAGGCCCUGGAUGGUUGAAAACUUUAGUAAUGGCAUCAUUAGUAGCUAUUAAAGAUGCCAUUGUUAAAUAACAUCAUGUAGGGAGCGUACCAAGACAACCAGACCCAGAAACAAACAUUUCUCACACUGGCCCCUCGCUUUUACCCUUUCAUUUGUCCAAUUGGCCAGAAGAAAUCAUACGACGAGUUCCAUCAGUGUGAAAGGUAUGUGUCUUAGUCAGGGUUUCUAUUCCUGCACAAAACAUCAUGACCA
RNAcentral lists this small RNA (914 nucleotides) under Rattus norvegicus (Norway rat). Its description in RNAcentral is "uncharacterized LOC103693460". Lineage: Eukaryota; Metazoa; Chordata; Mammalia; Rodentia; Muridae. The record is from RNAcentral.